Molecule: transfer RNA, 59 nt
Filed under: Dipodomys ordii (Ord's kangaroo rat)
Lineage: Eukaryota; Metazoa; Chordata; Mammalia; Rodentia; Heteromyidae
Rfam family: tRNA
About the family: Transfer RNA (tRNA) molecules are approximately 80 nucleotides in length. Their secondary structure includes four short double-helical elements and three loops (D, anti-codon, and T loops).
Source: Rfam by way of RNAcentral
GUGGCUCAGUGGUAGAGUGCUUGCCUUGCAUGGCUGAGGCCCUGGGUUCGAUUCCCAGC